UACGUAGGGCGCAAGCGUUAUCCGGAAUUAUUGGGCGUAAAGAGCUCGUAGGCGGUUUGUCGCGUCUGCCGUGAAAGUCCGGGGCUUAACUCCGGAUCUGCGGUGGGUACGGGCAGACUAGAGUGCAGUAGGGGAGACUGGAAUUCCUGGUGUAGCGGUGAAAUGCACAGAUAUCAGGAGGAACACCGAUGGCGAAGGCAGGUCUCUGGGCUGUAACUGACGCUGAGGAGCGAAAGCAUGGGGAGCGAACAGG
This 253-nucleotide ribosomal RNA is filed under the name uncultured bacterium. RNAcentral describes it as "partial 16S ribosomal RNA". It matches the Rfam family "Bacterial small subunit ribosomal RNA", at positions 524 to 776 of the family's 1533-position model. The record is from RNAcentral.